GUAGGGUGCGAGCGUUAAUCGGAAUUACUGGGCGUAAAGCGUGCGCAGGCGGUUUGUUAAGUCUGAUGUGAAAGCCCCGGGCUCAACCUGGGAAUGGCAUUGGAAACUGGCAAGCUUGAGUAUGGCAGAGGGGGGUGGAAUUCCGCGUGUAGCAGUGAAAUGCGUAGAGAUGCGGAGGAACACCGAUGGCGAAGGCAGCCCCCUGGGCCAAUACUGACGCUCAGGCACGAAAGCGUGGGGAGCAAACAGGAUUAGAUACCCUGGUAGUCCACGCCCUAAACGAUGCUCACUAGGUGUUGGGGAAGCGAUUCCUUGGUACCGUAGCUAACGCGUGAAGUGAGCCGCCUGGGGAGUACGGCCGCAAGGUU
Molecule: ribosomal RNA, 368 nt
Filed under: uncultured bacterium
Lineage: Bacteria
Description: bacterial SSU rRNA
Rfam family: Bacterial small subunit ribosomal RNA
Source: RNAcentral